UCAUUGUAUUAAAUGCUGCCAACAAUGUCAUCACUUCUCCUUUUGGCAUGGGAGAAGGGUUUUAAACAAAGUGAACAAUUACUCUGAUCUAUGGAUGACUGUAGGAACAUCUACAGCGACCCAAUUGUGGCAGACACCACCAGGAAUGAUGAAAUUGUUCAGAUCCUCUGCAUCCUCUUCCAAGAUAGCAGCAGCCUCUUCAGGUUGAUCGUCAUGGAUGAAUCCUCCACUCUUGAACAGCCCUUGCUCAUUAAAUGC
Molecule: long non-coding RNA, 258 nt
Filed under: Lathyrus oleraceus (garden pea)
Lineage: Eukaryota; Viridiplantae; Streptophyta; Magnoliopsida; Fabales; Fabaceae
Description: Pisum sativum (pea) long non-coding RNA (PSAT_LNC036671)
Source: RNAcentral